GACGAACGCUGGCGGCGUGCCUAAUACAUGCAAGUCGAACGCUUCUUUCCUCCCGAGUGCUUGCACUCAAUUGGAAAGAGGAGUGGCGGACGGGUGAGUAACACGUGGGUAACCUACCCAUCAGAGGGGGAUAACACUUGGAAACAGGUGCUAAUACCGCAUAACAGUUUAUGCCGCAUGGCAUAAGAGUGAAAGGCGCUUUCGGGUGUCGUUGAUGGAUGGACCCGCGGUGCAUUAGCUAGUUGGUGAGGUAACGGCUCACCAAGGCCACGAUGCAUAGCCGACCUGAGAGGGUGAUCGGCCACACUGGGACUGAGACACGGCCCAGACGCCUACGGGAGGCAGCAGUAGGGAAUCUUCGGCAAUGGACGAAAGUCUGACCGAGCAACGCCGCGUGAGUGAAGAAGGUUUUCGGAUCGUAAAACUCUGUUGUUAGAGAAGAACAAGGACGUUAGUAACUGAACGUCCCCUGACGGUAUCUAACCAGAAAGCCACGGCUAACUACGUG
This 508-nucleotide ribosomal RNA is filed under the name uncultured bacterium. RNAcentral's name for it is "partial 16S ribosomal RNA". It matches the Rfam family "Bacterial small subunit ribosomal RNA", at positions 28 to 507 of the family's 1533-position model. The record is from RNAcentral.